Molecule: small RNA, 60 nt
Filed under: Pedobacter alluvionis
Lineage: Bacteria; Pseudomonadati; Bacteroidota; Sphingobacteriia; Sphingobacteriales; Sphingobacteriaceae
Description: Flavo-1 RNA
Source: RNAcentral
AUCUAAACCUGGUAGAAGCGACACGAGUGUAACGAAGUAAAGCGGAUAACAGGACUGUAU